UACGGAGGGAGCUAGCGUUGUUCGGAAUUACUGGGCGUAAAGCGCGCGUAGGCGGCUUUGUAAGUUAGAGGUGAAAGCCCGGGGCUCAACCCCGGAACUGCCUUUAAGACUGCAUCGCUUGAAUCCGGGAGAGGUGAGUGGAAUUCCGAGUGUAGAGGUGAAAUUCGUAGAUAUUCGGAAGAACACCAGUGGCGAAGGCGGCUCUCUGGGCCUUGCCUGACGCUGAGGCGCGAAAGCUAGGGGAGCAAACAGG
This 253-nucleotide ribosomal RNA is filed under the name uncultured bacterium. RNAcentral's name for it is "partial 16S ribosomal RNA". It matches the Rfam family "Bacterial small subunit ribosomal RNA", at positions 524 to 776 of the family's 1533-position model. The record is from RNAcentral.